Molecule: long non-coding RNA, 7563 nt
Filed under: Anthonomus grandis grandis
Lineage: Eukaryota; Metazoa; Arthropoda; Insecta; Coleoptera; Curculionidae
Description: uncharacterized LOC126738154
Source: RNAcentral
GGAGCUAGGCAAACCUUUGAUCAUUGUUAUUUCUGUUUAUAGGGUAUUUAGGCAAUUUAUUCUAAAAAAGUUUCAAGUAAAUUACACUUUUUGUUUUAAAAACAAUAUUUUGAAAUAAAAAAACCAAAUUCCUUUAAAAUUACGGUGUGAUUUAUUCCAACAUAUACGGAAAACCGAACCUCUUUUCUUUCUCUCGCUUCGUCGCGUCGUGCCUGUCUGUACGCAUGCAAAAAACCCUGGCUUACGUAAUUCGAUGUUGCCGCUGUGACAUAUUUUUAUUGUUAUUUAAACAGGUUUUGUUAUGGGUUGAUACUACUUUUCUCUCCCAUAAAUUUUUCUAAAUAUACAGAAAAACCCAUAUAAUAAGUCAAAGUAGCCAGAUGUUGAAUGUUUACACAGAACAACAUUUCGAAAAUCCCAAAAAUCUUUAAGUAGGAGUUUUCUACAGGGUUCAACCUUUUAAAUAUUUUAGUUAAGAAAUGGGGCUAACUAUUCUUGACUUACACAUUUUUUCUAAAUAUACAGGAAAGCCUAGAAAAUGAGGUCAAAGUGAGUAAAAAUUGUCAUAAAACUACGUUUCAAAACCACCCAAAAUUCGCACUUAGGAUUCAUAAUUCAAUAUUGAUUUUUUUAUAUGGUUUAGCCAGGGGUUGAAGCUGCUUUUCUCUCCCUACAUAAAUUUUCGUAAAUGUACAGAGAAAAUUAGGUCAAAGUUAGUCAAAAUUGGCAUAAAAGUACAUUACAAACAUCUCCAAAACUUAUACUAAGGACUCAUAAUUCAACAUUGAAUUUUUGAUGUGGUUUAGUCAACAGAUAACAGAUAGCAAUCAAUGAUAACAGAAAACUUUGGAUGAAUUGUUCUAAAGUUGGCUAGAUGGAGUAUUGGAGUUUGUGAAAGGAAGUUGUGAAGGUGCUAGGCAAACUAGCUGUUUAUAGGGUAUUUAGGCUAAAAAGUUUCAUAUAAAUUAUACUUAGGAUGCUUGUAAGGGUUGCGGUUAAUUCUUUCUUUACAUAUAUUUUCCUAAAUAGACAGUCCCGAAAAGUUAUGUAAAAGUGAGUCAAAAUAGACAUAAAAGUACAUUCAAAACACCCCCACUCAAUAUUGAUUUUUUUUAUAUGGUUUAGCCAAAGAUUGAAGCUGCUUUUCUUCUCUCCCUACAUGUAUUUUUCUAAAUAUACAGAGAAACAUAUGUUGAAAAUUUACACAGAACAACAUUUUGAAAAUCCCAAAAAUCUCUAAGUGGGAUCUUUGUAGAGAGUUCAACUUUUUAUAUGUUUUAGCUAAGAAAUGGGGCUGAAUAUUAUUUCCUUACAAAUUUUUGGUAAAUAUACAGGAAAGCCCCAAAAAUUAUGUCAAAAUGGGAGCAAAUUGUCAUAAAAUUACACUUCAAAAACACCCAAGAUUUACACUUAGGACUCAUAAUUCAACAUUAAAUUUUUCAUACAGAUAAAAUAUCAUGUAUAGUUUAGGUGAAGUUACUUCGUCAAGCUCCAAAAUUGAGUAUGUACAAAAUACAAUCAACAUACAGUAAAACUCCUCUAAUUCGAACUUCUUUAUCUCGAAAUAUUCCCUAAUUCGAAUAUUUUAUACUACCAAAAAAGGUAUCAUCAAGUUUAUAUGAUAUUUUAUCUCUAAAGUCGAAUUUCUCUAUCUCGAAUUUUUCUAUAAGUCGAAAUAACGUUUAACGCAUUGCCGAUGGCUAACUCGAAUUUUGCGGGGAAGUACAGACAUUUUUCUAGGAAAAAAUCUGUUUGUUACAUGGAUUUGCUACUGCAUCAUAUUUCUUUUUAUUAGUUCAAACGGAAAAAGGCUCUCAUCGCGACGUGGCGGUUUUGUGGUUACAGUUUUUUGGUGCGUAUGCGAAUUAAGACAAUUUGUUUUUAUUAAAAAUAAUUAUGGCUAAGAGAAAUUUAAAGUGCUUACCAUUAUGUGAGAAAUUGAAAUUAAUUGCUGAAGUGGAAAAAGGUGAAAAGAAAAAAAAGGAUAUUGCCGAACAGUUUGGGAUACCACCCAAUACUCUGUCAACGAUCCUAAAAAACAAGGAUAGACUUUUAGAAAAAAAAGAUGAUUACGCUUCAAACUGUAAGAGGAGAAGGCUUACACCUUGUGUGAAUGAAGAUAUUGAUGAAGCAAUGCUUAAGUGGGUUACUACGGCACGAAAUAAAAAUCUCCUUCUAUCUGGAACACUUAUAAGAGAAAAAGCUAAGGAGUUUGCAACUGCUUUAGGGCGGGACGAUUUUGCAGCUAGCAUAGGAUGGUUAGAUAAGUUUAAGGCCGUCGUCCCACCAAAGAUACACGACAGCGACGCCACAUCUCCGCGAUGUCGCCAGCGUGUAUCUUUCGUGUCGAACCCAUGUUUUAAAAUCAUUUUGUCCCCACCAACGCUGCGCCGAAGACACAUCCAAAAGCGUGUCGCCUUCGUGUUGCCGGGAGACUGGACGUGUCAGUUGCGAAGCAACAUUCAAGCUGUGUGUGUUGGCGUUUUUCUUCAUUUAUCGAAGUUUUAUUUUUUUGUUUAUUAUGGCACAACAAAAUGCUGAACUGGAUUUUAAUGGAUGUCUGUGCAGCUCCUUAGCAGCAACAUAUAUUUUUUUUUUUAAUUUUUCUCAAUAAAAGGAUGCACACACCAUUUUAUUUUUUUUCUAUUCCGCAAAUACCAAUACAUUGCAACCACAUCCUCGUCUUCACUCGAUGACAUUUUGAACUAAACUGAACAACUAAACGUAAAAAACACGAAACGCGUAUCUUUGGUGGGGCCACUGCAUGUCGUCUGAAUGUGUCCAGGUGAAAUCGUGUCGCCGUCGCGUAUCUUUGGUGGGACGACGGCCUAAAACUAGGCAUAACAUCGUUCAAAUGUCUUUAUGUGGUGAAAGUGCUUCUGCAGAUUUGGCGUCUUGUGAAGAAUGGCAAAAGAAUGUAUUGCCCACUCUGAUCGGUCAAUAUGAUAAGGAUGACAUUUUUAAUGCUGAUGAAACAGGAGUUUUCUUUAAAUGUUUACCCAACAAAACACUAGCAUUUAAAGGACAAAAAUGCCAUGGUGGCAAAAACAGCAAGGAACGAAUUACAGUUAUGGUUGGAAGUAAUAUGAGUGGGACUGAAAAGCUUAGGCUGCUAAUCAUUGGUAAGUCAAAGAAUCCACGUUGUUUUAAGGGCAUUAAAUCAUUUGCAGUGGACUAUGAGUUUAAUAAAAAAGCAUGGAUGACAAGUGAGAUUUAUGAAAAAUGGCUAUUAAAGCUUGAUAAGAAAUUUGCAGCCCAAAGAAGAAAAGUUUUACUAUUCGUUGAUAAUUGUCCUGCACAUCCCAAGUCUGUUGAAUCUAAGUUAAAAAAUAUUAAACUUGAAUAUUUUCCGCCUAACCUUACGUCAAUCUUACAAUCCAUGGAUCAAGGAAUUAUAAAAAAUUUGAAGCAACAUUAUAGGAAGCGGAUUGUUAUGAAAGUUUUAGCCCAUAUGGAAGUGGCAACUCCUACAACUGUGACGUUACUUGACGCAAUUUAAGAUCUUAAUAAAACGUGGACUCUGGACGUAAAAGAACAAACCAUUGCUAAUUGCUUUAGAAAAGCAGGAUUUGUUAAAGAUAUAGUUCUACAAGAUGCUGAUAACUGGGACGAGGAUGACCUUGUUCCAUUAUCUGAAUUAAAAACCCUGUGGACCUCAUACAGAAGGGCUAUAAACAUGAGUGAUGUUUCAUUUGAAGACUAUGUGACGAUUGAUGAUAAUGUACAAACAACAGGUUUUCCAACUGAUGAAGAGAUCCUAGAAAGCGUAAUAGAAAAUCUUGUUCCAAAUAAAAAAGACCCUGAAGAAAAUGAAGAUGAUGGCCAAAGCGAAGGUGAGACUGUUCCGACACCUACAAUUGACGAGACGAUUUCUGCUAUUGAAAUGAUAAGAUGUUUUAUUUUAUCCAGAGAAAAUAUUCCAUAUGAAAUACACAAUUCUUUAAAUUUAUUAGAAGAUUUUAUAGAUAAGGAAAAAUGGACCAAUUUCACACAAAAAAAAACUGACUUCUUUAAAAAAAAAUUAUAAACAUAUUGAUAUGCAUACAUAUUAUGUAACACAUACAACAUACAAAAUUUUAGUUUUAUACGAAGUCGAUUUUUCCAUAAGUCGAUUUUUUUAGUCUCUCCCUUGAAGAUUCGAGUUAGAGAAGUUUCACUGUACUACAUAUAAGCAUUAAAAUAAACUGCAAAAUAUAUUACGAUAUUUAGUGAUCGAUUCCCGUAUAUAUUUACGGUCGAUUCGAGUGUUUCCACAGCCCCCGGCCCGUUCAACAAUCAAUAUUUGUCAGAUAAAGAUAGGCAAAUUCGGCGCGGAUAACGUGAAACAGACGAAGAUACGAGAUUCUCUCGAUGCUACUGGGAUUGAAUAUUGAGGACGGGCCGGGAAUACGAAACAGAGUCGCGCGCUCAAAAAUAGGAAAUGCAAUUAUUUUAUACGUUUUAUUAUUGUUAGUUUACAGUAUUUCUUCAAAUAAACGAAUAUAAGCAAAAUAUUAACUUGUAUUGCGUUCUAUUAUUUAUAACGUCAUUUUUUACUAGAUAUUAUACAGGGUAUUGGCCAUUAGAGAAAGGAGGGGUGUGCGUCAGAUUGCAUUUGGUGCCUUCACUUAAAGCAUUUCAAUUGAACUCAAAUUCGGCUUGAUAGGUUCCUAUUUACAUUAAUGUAAAUUUUUUUAGACUGCAAUAACUCUAACAAUCAUUUGUCGAUACAUAGAGUGCUGAAAUCUUUUAAUUUAAGUUUGCAUGUUGACCAACCUACUCGCAUCACUGCUAAUUCAGCAUCACUUUUAGAUUAUGUUUGCUCUACUCUCUGUGAAACGCAGGUUGCAUGUAGAAUUGUAAAUGCCGGGUUGUCUGAUCAUGAGGCCGUAUUAUGUUCCUUUCUUCUAAGUGAAAAAAAGUGUACCUCAAGAAAAAAAAAAGUGCGGAAGGUUGUUCACUAGAAAAAAUUUCUGUAAGUUUAAAGAAUGUUGUAAUUCAAUAGACUGGAAUGGUAUCAUACUUAACAACGGUGAUCCUUUUGAUAGUUUCCAUUCAACUUUAGUGGAUGUUUUUGAGUCAACUUUCCCCAUGGUGACAAUUAGGGAAAAAAGGAGAAGACCCUGGUAUAGCAGGGGUCUAUUAGUUUCUGGUAAAAAUCUUCGGUGUUUGCACUCCAUAAGAAAGUUUGCCUUGGACAACUCCAAAUUCAUAUCCUACUUUAAUAGAUAUCGCAAAAUUUACCGUGAUACAGUGAAAUUGGCAAAAAACUUAUACUACUCAAGUAAAAUAAACCAAUCAAGAAAUAAGUCUAGAGAGUCUUGGAAAAUUGUUAAUGACUUACGUGGCGAACAUGGGAACCCUUCUGUUUCUAAUAGCACGGUGUCGGCCGAAACACUCAAUAAUUUUUUCCAGGGUGUUGCUUUGGGUCUAUCAAUAUUAUUGCCUCAGUCUGUUGGAGAUCCGCGCUCAUACUUACACAACAUUAAGGUGCCUGAAACAUUUUUCUUUAGACCAACAGAUUCUAGUGAAAUAAUGGAAGCUCUAUCCUCAAUGAAAAAUAAGAACUCCUCUGGAUGGGAUGGGCUGUCACUAAAGGUCCUAACAGCGCUACCGCUACCAACCCUUGAUUCUUUGGCUGAUGUGUUAAAUGUUUCACUUUCAAGUGGGUCCUUUCCACAUUUACUCAAGGAUGCCUUGAUUAUACCAUUAUUUAAGGGUGGAAACUAUGAUGACCCAUCAAAUUUCAGACCCAUAGCCCUGCUUCCCACGCUUGGCAAGCUUGUAGAAAGAUUGGUAAAAACUAGGAUGAUGGAAUUUCUGAAGCGGCAUAAUGUUCUUAACCAUUAGCAAUUUGGAUUCCGGACGAAACUGGGUACAUCUGAUGCUAUUUUCAAUUUUUUGGAGAGUCUGUACAUGGGGUUGAACGCUGGGGAGAGUGCGGCGGCGGUGUUCUGUGACUUAUCUAAGGCGUUUGACUGUGUAAGUCACAGAAUACUGCUACAGAAGCUGGAAACCUACGGAUUCAGAGGAGUUGCUCUCGACUGGUUUCGCUCUUACCUAUCUGGAAGAACACAAAGGGUAUUCUUUGACAAUGAUAUGUCAUCCCGUCUGAAUAUGGACGCUGGUGUACCCCAGGGUUCUGUUCUUGGACCAAUAUUGUUCCUGCUAUAUGUCAAUGAUAUCUCUCAAAUUCCAAUUAGGGGCAAAUUUACUAUCAUACAUACAUUACUUUGGCAUGACACUGACACCAAGAGAUUAAGGAAUAUUGUUGAUGAAGAUUUAAUUCUUGUAAAGUCAUGGUGUGAAUCUAAUAGAUUAACCUUUAAUAUGUCUAAAACUAAUAUUUUAACUUUUAAAUGUAACCUUGGAACUGUCACUUUGCAAAAUGAAACAAUAAGUCCUUCUGAAACAUGCAAAUUUUUGGGCCUGACGAUUGAUAAGCAAUUAAAAUUUGAAAAUCAUAUCUCCUCUUAGGGAAGUUUAUCUUAGGGAAGUUAUCAUCCAACUGUUAUGCUAUUAGAGUAAUAACACAUUCUCUGGGACUUGAUGUGGCCAAAAUUGCCUACCAUGCUCUUAUAGAGUCUUAUCUGAGAUACGGUAUUGUGUUUUGGGGUGUGUGCUCUCAGUAUUUGUUCAGCUCUCUAUUUAUUUUGCAAAAAAGAGCCAUACGCUAUAUGUGUGCAGCUCCCUUUCGUAGCCCCUGUAGGCCAUUAUUUUUAAAACACUCUGUCCUGACAUUGCCAUGCCUUUUUAUUUUAGAGACUGUUUGUCUUAUCCACAAAAAAUAUCGCCAUCAACUUGGCCCCCCCUCCUCGGGUUACAAUCUCCGAACAACCUUCUCUUUACCUCUGUCUAUCCCAAAAAGUGAGCAGAUUAAGUCCUCUUUUGUGUACGGGGGCAGAAGGCUUUUUAACCACCUACCCCUUUAUAUAAGGCUAAUAAAUUGUGAAAAACGUUUUAGGAAAAAUAUAAAGAAACUCUUGCUUGCUAAAGCAUUUUAUUCUGUAGACGAGUUUUUAAAUACAAUUUUUUGACAGUGAAGAGUUUUGCGCAGCGUAAUGUGAAUUCUUAUUACCCUUUCUUUGGGUGUGUUCUAUAUUCUAUGUAUGUAAGAAUUGUUAAAAUUUUUAUAUUUUUGUAAAAGAUUAUGUUGUCAACUAUCUUUAAGAUUUUAUAUAAUGCUUUGUUAACAACAGAUGAUGUUACGUAACAAUAAAGCUAUUUUUGACUUUGACUUUGACUUAUUUUUUUGAAGAAAAUGGGGUUCCGUUUCAGUAACGUUUGAACGUUACGUUAAUAUGGUAAACACCUUCUUUAUCCCCGAGUUAGAAAGAAGACGUAUUGACCGAGACCGUUUGUGGUUUCAGCAAGAUGGAGCCACAGCAUACACCGCCAGGGCAUCCAUGGCUGUUUUUCGUCAUUUGAUUACCAUUUAAUUUCAAGAUUUGGUGACGUUUUAUGGCCUCUUCGGUACCUCAAGUUUAUAAAAAUACUCAUCACCGAUCAUCGUAAAUUAGAUGAAUUAAAGAUGUAAUCUGCCAGGAAAUUAGUGAAAUCAAUAGAGAUUUACUGCAAAAAGUC